RNAcentral lists this ribosomal RNA (883 nucleotides) under uncultured organism. Its description in RNAcentral is "bacterial SSU rRNA". It matches the Rfam family "Bacterial small subunit ribosomal RNA", at positions 549 to 1437 of the family's 1533-position model. The record is from RNAcentral.
AUUCAUUGGGUUUAAAGGGUGCGCAGGCUGUAAGGCAAGUCAGUGGUGAAGCCCUGGCUUAACUCAGGGAUUGCCAUUGAAACUGUUUUACUAGAGUGUAGUAGAGGACGGCGGAAUGAGUUGUGUACCGGUGAAAUGCAUGGAUAUAACUCAGAACACCUAUUGCGUAGGCAGCUGUCUAUACUACAACUGACGCUGAGGCACGAAAGCGUGGGGAGCGAACAGGAUUAGAUACCCUGGUAGUCCACGCUGUAAACGAUGAUCACUCGUUGUUGGCUACUUAGUAGUCAGUGACCAAGGGAAACCGAUAAGUGAUCCACCUGGGGAGUACGUCGGCAACGAUGAAACUCAAAGGAAUUGACGGGGGCCCGCACAAGCGGAGGAACAUGUGGUUUAAUUCGAUGAUACGCGAGGAACCUUACCUGGGCUUAAAUGCUGGCUGCAUUGGAGGGAAACCUUCAUUUCCUACGGGACCGCCAGCAAGGUGCUGCAUGGUUGUCGUCAGCUCGUGCCGUGAGGUGUCGGGUUAAGUCCCAUAACGAGCGCAACCCCUAUCGCUAGUUGCCAGCAUGUAAUGGUGGGGACUCUAGCGAGACUGCCGGUGUAAACCGGAGGAAGGUGGGGAUGACGUCAAAUCAGCACGGCCCUUACGUCCAGGGCUACACACGUGUUACAAUGGCCGGUACAAAGAGCAGCCACCUGGCGACAGGGCGCUAAUCUCAAAAACCGGUCUCAGUUCGGAUCGAAGUCUGCAAUUCGACUUCGUGAAGGUGGAUUCGCUAGUAAUCGCGCAUCAGCCAUGGCGCGGUGAAUAAGUUCCCGGGCCUUGUACACACCGCCCGUCAAGCCAUGGAAGUCGGGGGUACCUGAAGUCCGUAACCGA